GUGUCAGCAGCCGCGGUAAUACAGAGGGGGCUAGCGUUAUUCGGAAUUAUUGGGCGUAAAGGGCGCGUAGGCGGCCUGAUGUGUCCACGGUGAAAUCCCUCGGCUCAACCGAGGAACUGCCGUGGAAACUGUCGGGCUCGAGGCCGGGAGAGGGUGGUGGAAUUCCCAGUGUAGCGGUGAAAUGCGUAGAUAUUGGGAGGAACACCAGUGGCGAAGGCGGCCACCUGGACCGGUUCUGACGCUGAGGCGCGAAAGCGUGGGGAGCAAACAGGAUUAGAUACCCCUGUAGUCC
This 292-nucleotide ribosomal RNA is filed under the name uncultured bacterium. RNAcentral describes it as "partial 16S ribosomal RNA". It matches the Rfam family "Bacterial small subunit ribosomal RNA", at positions 505 to 796 of the family's 1533-position model. The record is from RNAcentral.